UACGGGGGGGGCUAGCGUUGUUCGGAAUUACUGGGCGUAAAGGGCGCGUAGGCGGCUUUGUAAGUCGGGGGUGAAAGCCUGUGGCUCAACCACAGAAUUGCCUUCGAUACUGCAUGGCUUGAGACCGGAAGAGGUAAGUGGAACUGCGAGUGUAGAGGUGAAAUUCGUAGAUAUUCGCAAGAACACCAGUGGCGAAGGCGGCUUACUGGUCCGGUUCUGACGCUGAGGCGCGAAAGCGUGGGGAGCAAACAGG
This 253-nucleotide ribosomal RNA is filed under the name uncultured bacterium. Its description in RNAcentral is "partial 16S ribosomal RNA". It matches the Rfam family "Bacterial small subunit ribosomal RNA", at positions 524 to 776 of the family's 1533-position model. The record is from RNAcentral.